UACGUAGGGUGCGAGCGUUAAUCGGAAUUACUGGGCGUAAAGCGUGCGCAGGCGGUUCGUUGUGUCGGCGGUGAAAGCCCCGGGCUCAACCUGGGAAUGGCCGUUGAAACUGGCGAACUGGAGUGUGGCAGAGGCGAGUGGAAUUCCUGGUGUAGCGGUGAAACGCGCAGAUAUCAGGAGGAACACCGAUGGCGAAGGCAGCUCGCUGGGACGGUACUGACGCUGAGGCGCGAAAGCGUGGGGAGCAAACAGG
This 253-nucleotide ribosomal RNA is filed under the name uncultured bacterium. RNAcentral's name for it is "partial 16S ribosomal RNA". It matches the Rfam family "Bacterial small subunit ribosomal RNA", at positions 524 to 776 of the family's 1533-position model. The record is from RNAcentral.